UUCAUGUCGCAGACUUGCCACAGACAUCUGAUCACUCCGCCACUGCUUCUCAAGUUCUGGGGUGAGAGACUCAAGUAGAAAAUGGCAAAAGAAAGAUGACUGAGAUGGCUUUCGAAUGCACCAACCUCCUGUGCUGCCGACAUGCCAAGUGCUCUUUGUAAGAAUUUCUAGCUCAGCCCAGCUCAGAGUGACUGGUAUCACCCUGAGGUCACAGGAAGGCUGCAUCCCUGCACCUUCAGAAGAAGAUGAAGACGACCUUGGAGAGGUUCAGAAACUGAACAUCUGGGCACUGUCAGCUGAAGCCAGACAGCGUGAAUGCAGUCAACACACCCUCUGCCAGGAUGUCUAGGCCUCCUGGGCAGAAGGGCCUUGCUGGCUCCAGUGAUGUUAUUAUUGAAGAGGGUUCUUGAGUUUCUUACCUGGCAAGAUCACAGGAAAAGUGGGUUAGGCAGAAUUGCAGACCAUUGUUGACAGCCUCGGUCAGAGGAGGAAACAGAAACCGAGGGAAGAAAGUCAGGGGAUAGAGGGGUUCAUGUGGGAAUAGUUUCAGUUUGUUUCUGGAACAUCUCCAAAAGGUCUGUAUGCUUUGCUUGCCAGUAGGUGGCGCCACUGGGAGGGGAUGGAACUUAUAAAAAGUGCAAUUUCUUUGGAUGGAAGUUGGGUUCUUGUUGACAUGCCCUAGCAGGUGAUGUUGCUGCCUGCAACUCUUCCUCCUGCUCCUGUUCCUUCUCCUGUUCCUCCUCUUCUCAUUCUUCCUCCUUGUUCCUGUCCAGCACAAAUCAAGCAGCUUUAUUCUACUCAUGCUCCCUACCAUAACAUCAUCCUUUGUCUUAGGCCUCUCCCCUCACUAUAGUCCCACAAGCCAUGAGGCCAACCAAGAACGAACUGAAGUCUGAAACCAUGAGCCAAAUUGAGUUCUCCCCGACCUUUUUUUAAAAAUUAUUCAAUUUUUAUAUUUUAU
RNAcentral lists this long non-coding RNA (961 nucleotides) under Mus spicilegus (steppe mouse). RNAcentral's name for it is "lncRNA (ENSMSIG00000005207.1)". The record is from RNAcentral. Lineage: Eukaryota; Metazoa; Chordata; Mammalia; Rodentia; Muridae.